CAGAGGGCAGCUACCCAGCAAUGGGAUGCGAAUCUCGAAAGCCUGUCUCAGUUCGGAUUGGAGGCUGAAACCCGCCUCCAUGAAGUUGGAUUCGCUAGUAAUCGCGCAUCAGCCAUGGCGCGGUGGAUACGUUCCCGGGCCUUGUACACACCGCCCGUCAAGCCAUGGGAGCCGGGGGUGCCUGAAGUUCGUGACCGCAAGGAGCGACCUAGGGCAAAACUGGUGACUGGGGCUAAGUCGUAACAAGGUACC
RNAcentral lists this ribosomal RNA (252 nucleotides) under uncultured bacterium. RNAcentral describes it as "partial 16S ribosomal RNA". It matches the Rfam family "Bacterial small subunit ribosomal RNA", at positions 1240 to 1500 of the family's 1533-position model. The record is from RNAcentral.